UAGGGAAUCUUCGGCAAUGGACGAAAGUCUGACCGAGCAACGCCGCGUGAGUGAAGAAGGUUUUCGGAUCGUAAAACUCUGUUGUUAGAGAAGAACAAGGACGUUAGUAACUGAACGUCCCCUGACGGUAUCUAACCAGAAAGCCACGGCUAACUACGUGCCAGCAGCCGCGGUAAUACGUAGGUGGCAAGCGUUGUCCGGAUUUAUUGGGCGUAAAGCGAGCGCAGGCGGUUUCUUAAGUCUGAUGUGAAAGCCCCCGGCUCAACCGGGGAGGGUCAUUGGAAACUGUGAGACUUGAGUGCAGAGGAGGGGGGUGGAAUUCCUUGUGUAGCGGUGAAAUGCGUAGAUAUAUGGUGGAAAUCCAGUGGCGAGGGCGGCUCUCUGGUCUGUAACUGACGCUGAGGCUCGAAAGCGUGGGGAGCAAACAGG
This 429-nucleotide ribosomal RNA is filed under the name Gemmatimonadota bacterium. RNAcentral describes it as "Gemmatimonadetes bacterium partial 16S ribosomal RNA". It matches the Rfam family "Bacterial small subunit ribosomal RNA", at positions 355 to 776 of the family's 1533-position model. The record is from RNAcentral. Lineage: Bacteria; Pseudomonadati; Gemmatimonadota.